This is a long non-coding RNA of Xenia sp. Carnegie-2017, 479 nucleotides long. RefSeq lists it as uncharacterized. Lineage: Eukaryota; Metazoa; Cnidaria; Anthozoa; Malacalcyonacea; Xeniidae. The transcript is spliced from 2 exons. The record is from RefSeq and is a predicted model, not a curated record.
ACAUUCUUAGUAUCUUUUGCCGUAAGUGUCUUUUUGUUGCUUUAGUUCUUUUCAACGCAUGCGCAGUAGAUAUAAAUUAAGAGUAAAAUGACAGAACUGAAACUUCAUUUCAGGAGGCGAACAAUGAGAAUGAAAAACAAAAAAGAAGAAACUAGAGAAGAAAAAGAAACUAGAUGAAGCUCAGCAAAAGGAACGAGAUCGCCAAAAGAAGGUGGCAAAUAAAGUAGCGAGUUUCAAAAACGUAAACCGUACAAACGAUUGCGAAUCAAACAGGAGGGAGUUCAAUGACUUUAUAUCGGCAUUAAAAUCUGGUGACGUAUUUAGUGACGACGCAAGAAAUACGGGGGGCAUCGUAAGGUUAAAGCAAGUAGAGAAGUUUGCCGUAACAUUUAGAAUUACCACGUAUAGUAUCACUACACAUUACAGAGUAAUCUUUAAUUAGUAAUGCUGUGGAGAAUAAUACAUCAUUCACAUUUUUA